Molecule: non-coding RNA, 400 nt
Organism: Arachis ipaensis
Lineage: Eukaryota; Viridiplantae; Streptophyta; Magnoliopsida; Fabales; Fabaceae
Source: RefSeq, a predicted model, not a curated record
UCUUUGUUCAUACGUUUCGGUGAGUCAAGUAAGUACCGGCUAUAAUACUCGUGAGCGAUUUUGCUAAGCAAGCCUUGCAAGUCUACAAUAACCAAAAUAAUGCGAAUUUUGAGUUUGAUCAUCUUGUCAAGGCUAAUUGCCAAGCUGUUUCCGGCAUUAUGUAUUACAUUACUUUUACUGCACGCUCUGGGGAUAAUGCGCUUCAAACCUUUUGCGGCAAAGUAUGGCAAAAAGUAAUGAAUAAGGGAACAGAAGUUAAGUUUUGUGUGAUGGCAACUGAUUAAGCAGGAAGCUGGUACAUAUCAGGUGUAAGUCGCGGAGACGAGCCUAGGACCCUGUUCUAGUUGUGUUUGAUGGGUCCUUCCUUCAGGAAAGAAAACUCUCUGCUAUUAUAUAACCU